UGAGUACGAGCGGCUACGGCCGCGAAGUGGAUGAUGUCAAGCUUCCAAGAAAAGCCCUAUACCCGUUAAGGCAUGAUGGCCUGUACCCGAAACCGACACAGGUGGGGUGGUAGAGAAUACCGAGGGGCGCGAGGUAACUCUCUCUAAGGAACUCGGCAAAAUGGCCCCGUAACUUCGGGAGAAGGGGUGCCACCGCGAGGUGGUCGCAGUGAAGAGGCCCAGGCGACUGUUUACCAAAAACACAGGUCUCCGCUAAGUCGCAAGACGAUGUAUGGGGGCUGACGCCUGCCCAGUGCCGGAAGGUUAAGGAAGCUGGUCAGCGCAAGCGAAGCUGGCGACUGAAGCCCCGGUGAACGGCGGCCGUAACGAUAACGGUCCUAAGGUAGCGAAAUUCCUUGUCGGGUAAGUUCCGACCCGCACGAAAGGCGUAACGAUCUGGGCGCUGUCUCGGAGAGAGGCUCGGCGAAAUAGAAUUGUCUGUGAAGAUGCGGACUACGUGCACCCGGACAGAAAGACCCUAUGAAGCUUUACUGUAGCUUGGUAUUGUGCUCGGGCUCGGAAUGCGCAGGAUAGGUAGGAGGCUUUGAUCCAUUGCUUGCGGGUGAUGGUGAGCCACUGGUGAGAUACCACUCUUUCCGAGCUAGAGUUCUAACAGCAACCCGUUAUCCGGGUGCUGGACAGUAUCAGGUGGGCAGUUUGACUGGGGCGGUCGCCUCCUAAAAGGUAACGGAGGCGCGCAAAGGUCUGCUCAGGCUGGUUGGAAAUCAGCCGACGAGUGUAAAAGCAGAAGCAGGCUUGACUGUGAGACCUACAAGUCGAACAGGGAGGAAACUCGGCUUUAGUGAUCCGACGGUUCUGCGUGGAAGGGCCGUCGCUCAACGGAUAAAAGUUACUCUAGGAUAACAGGCUGAUCUCCCCCAAGAGUUCACAUCGACGGGGAGGUUUGGCACCUCGGUGUCGGCUCAUCGCAACCUGGGGCUGAAGUCGGUCCCAAGGGUUGGGCUGUUCGCCCAUUAAAGCGGUACGCGAGCUGGGUUCAGAACGUCGUGAGACAGUUCGGUCCAUAUCCGGUGCACGCGCAGGAAUAUUGAGAGGAUUUCUCCCUAGUACGAGAGGACCGGGAGGAACGCACCUCUGGUGUGCCAGUUAUCGUGCCAACGGUAAACGCUGGGUAGCCAUGUGCGGAGUGGAUAACCGCUGAAAGCAUCUAAGUGGGAAGCCCACCUCAAGAUGAGUAUUCCCAUGGCAUAAGCCAGUAAGGUCACGGGAAGAACACCCGUUGAUAGGCUCUACGUGGAAGCGCAGUAAUGUGUGAAGCGGAGGAGUACUAAUAGACCGAGGGCUUGAC
RNAcentral lists this ribosomal RNA (1348 nucleotides) under metagenome. RNAcentral describes it as "bacterial LSU rRNA". It matches the Rfam family "Bacterial large subunit ribosomal RNA", at positions 1564 to 2925 of the family's 2925-position model. The record is from RNAcentral.